AUGGACGGCGGUGACCACGGGCACCGGUGCAGGUGUCCCCAUGGACCGCGGUGCACUUGCGGACCGCGCCAUGGAGGCCUCGCGGCGGCGGCCCUGGACCCCCGUGUGCGGGCCUUCCCCAUGGACGCCGCGACGCAGGCCAUGUAUCGGGAGCACGGCAUGGACCCGGUCACCCUCGAGUCCGACGUCACCACCGCCAUGACCUUCCUCCACUAUGUCCUCCCCAAGCCUUCCCUCUCCAACCGCGCCGCCCUCUCCGCCGCCUUUCUCCCGCCCCAGGACGACGGCGGCGUCGACCGCAUCAGCGGCAUCCCCGAGGAGCUCCUCCGCAACAUCGUCUCCCGCCUCCCCGCCAAGGACGGCGCGCGCACCGCCGCGCUGUCCUGCCGCUGGCGCCGGGUCUGGCUCUCCACCCCGCUCGUCCUCGUCGACGCCGACCUCCUCCCCGCCGGAUGCGGCUCCAGCCUGCGGGUCGAGCGCGCCCACGCGCAGCGCGUCGAGUCCGCCAUCACCCGCAUCCUCGAGGCGCACCCGGGGCCCUUCCGCUUCGUCCACCUCAUCUCAUGCCACAUGCAGGAGACCCCCGGCCUGCUCGCGCGCUGGCUCCAGCUCCUCGCCGUCAAGGGCAUCCGGGAGCUCAUGCUCGUCAACCGCCCGUGGCCGCUCGACAUGGCCCUCCCCGCCACCUUCUUCGGCAUGGCGACCCUCACCCGCCUGUACCUUGGCACCCUUGCCUUCCCUAACACGGCCGACCUCCCGCGCGGAGUGUCAUUCCCACACCUCCGCGAGCUGGGCCUCUUGGGCAUGGCCAUUAUGAACCGGGACAUGGACUUCGUCCUCGCCAGGAGCCCUGUGCUGGAGAUCCUCUGCAUCCAAGCCAACGUUCUGCUCAAGUGGCUCAGCCUCGUCAGCCGCAGCCUCCGGUGCGUGCAGAUCAUAGAAGGCAUCGAUCUGAAUAUCGUCGUCAAGAACGCCCCUAGCCUUGAGAGGGUCAUCAUCUGGACAUCAUCGGCCCGCGAUGGCCUGCACAGGAUGGUCAAGAUCGGCCAUGCCCCUGCGCUGAGCUUACUUGGCUACUUGGAGCCGGCACGACACCUGCUAGAGAUCGGCAACACCAUCAUCAAGGCUGGGACGAAGGCAAGCCCAAACACCACGGUCCCGAGCGUUAAGAUCCUCAGCUUAAGAGUGUGCUUUGGUGUCCGCAACGAUGCUAAGAUGCUGCCGAGCUUCCUCAGAUGCUUUCCCAACGUCGAGAGGCUACAUCUCGAGUCCAAUGAGACUGAUGAGCCCACAGGCAAGCUCACACCUUAA
Molecule: ribosomal RNA, 1311 nt
Filed under: Triticum aestivum (bread wheat)
Lineage: Eukaryota; Viridiplantae; Streptophyta; Magnoliopsida; Poales; Poaceae
Description: partial small subunit ribosomal RNA
Source: RNAcentral